GAAUUCAGUGAAUCAUCGAAUCUUUGAACGCACCUUGCGCUCCUUGGUAUUCCUCGGAGCAUGCCUGUUUGAGUAUCAUGAAAUUAUCAAAAUAAAUCUUUUGUUCAUUCGAUUGAUUUUAUUUUGGACUUGGGGGUCUGCAGAUUCACGUCUGCUCCCCUUAAAUGAAUUAGCUGGAUCACUGUAGACUCGGUUCCACUCGGCGUGAUAAGUAUCACUCGCUGAGGACACUUUGUAAAAGAAGUGGCCGGGACUAUUAGAGAACCGCUUCCAAUAGUCCAUUUGCUUGGACAAUUACAUUUAUGAUCUGAUCUCAAAUCAGGUAGGACUACCCGCUGAACUUAAGCAUAUCAAUAAGCGGAGGA
Molecule: ribosomal RNA, 365 nt
Filed under: uncultured fungus
Lineage: Eukaryota; Fungi
Description: eukaryotic LSU rRNA
Rfam family: 5.8S ribosomal RNA (bases 1-78)
Source: RNAcentral